This 583-nucleotide ribosomal RNA is filed under the name uncultured Eubacteriales bacterium. Its description in RNAcentral is "bacterial SSU rRNA". It matches the Rfam family "Bacterial small subunit ribosomal RNA", at positions 1 to 603 of the family's 1533-position model. The record is from RNAcentral. Lineage: Bacteria; Bacillati; Bacillota; Clostridia; Eubacteriales.
UUAGAGUUUGAUCAUGGCUCAGGACGAACGCUGGCGGCGUGCCUAACACAUGCAAGUCGAACGGAACCAAGGAGCUUGCUCUUUGGUUUAGUGGCGGACGGGUGAGUAACGCGUGAGCAACCUGGCUUUCAGAGGGGGACAACAGCUGGAAACGGCUGCUAAUACCGCAUAAUAUAACGAAGUGGCAUCGCUUUGUUAUCAAAGAUUUAUCGCUGAAAGAUGGGCUCACGUCCGAUUAGUUAGUUGGUGAGGUAAUGGCUCACCAAGACCGCGAUCGGUAGCCGAGCUGAGAGGCUCUACGGCCACAUUGGGACUGAGAUACGGCCCAGACUCCUACGGGAGGCAGCAGUGGGGGAUAUUGGUCAAUGGGGGAAACCCUGAACCAGCAACGCCGCGUGAAGGAAGAAGGCUUUCGGGUUGUAAACUUCUUUUAAGAGGGAAGAAAAAAAUGACGGUACCUCUUGAAUAAGCCACGGCUAACUACGUGCCAGCAGCCGCGGUAAUACGUAGGUGGCAAGCGUUGUCCGGAUUUACUGGGUGUAAAGGGCGCGUAGGCGGGAUGGCAAGUCAGAUGUGAAAUACC